UACGUAGGGUGCAAGCGUUGUCCGGAAUUAUUGGGCGUAAAGAGCUCGUAGGCGGUUUGUCGCGUCUGCUGUGAAAACUCGGGGCUUAACUCCGGGCCUGCAGUGGGUACGGGCAGACUAGAGUGCGGUAGGGGAGACUGGAAUUCCUGGUGUAGCGGUGAAAUGCGCAGAUAUCAGGAGGAACACCGGUGGCGAAGGCGGGUCUCUGGGCCGUAACUGACGCUGAGGCGCGACAGCGUGGGGAGCAAACAGG
This 253-nucleotide ribosomal RNA is filed under the name uncultured bacterium. RNAcentral's name for it is "partial 16S ribosomal RNA". It matches the Rfam family "Bacterial small subunit ribosomal RNA", at positions 524 to 776 of the family's 1533-position model. The record is from RNAcentral.